GACGAACGCUGGCGGCGUGCUUAACACAUGCAAGUCGAACGGUGAAGCGCCUUCCUUUUUGGUGGGUGUGGAUGAGUGGCGAACGGGUGAGUAACACGUGAGUAACCUGCCCCCUUCUUCUGGAUAACCGCAUGAAAGUGUGGCUAAUACGGGAUAUUCUGGGUCUGUCGCAUGAUGGGUCUGGGAAAGAUAUUGUUUCGGUGGGGGAUGGGCUCGCGGCCUAUCAGCUUGUUGGUGGGGUGAUGGCCUACCAAGGCGGUGACGGGUAGCCGGCCUGAGAGGGUGGCCGGUCACACUGGGACUGAGCCACGGCCCGGACUCCUACGGGAGGCAGCAGUGGGGAAUAUUGCACAAUGGGCGCAAGCCUGAUGCAGCGACGCCGCGUGAGGGAUGGAGGCCUUCGGGUUGUGAACCUCUUUCGCCAGUGAAGCAGGCCUGCCUCGUUUGUGGGUGGGUUGACGGUAGCUGGAUAAGAAGCGCCGGCUAACUACGUG
Molecule: ribosomal RNA, 494 nt
Filed under: uncultured bacterium
Lineage: Bacteria
Description: partial 16S ribosomal RNA
Rfam family: Bacterial small subunit ribosomal RNA
Source: RNAcentral